AACUAUGUGCCAGCAGCCGCGGUAAUACAUAGGAUGCAAGCGUUAUCCGGAUUUACUGGGCGUAAAGCGAGCGCAGGCGGAUUUGCAAGUCUGGUGUUAAAUACAAUCGCUUAACGAUUGUAUGCAUUGGAAACUGCAAGUCUAGAGUAUAGUAGGGAGUUUUGGAACUCCAUGUGGAGCGGUGGAAUGCGUAGAUAUAUGGAAGAACACCAGUGGCGAAGGCGAAAACUUAGGCUAUUACUGACGCUUAGGCUCGAAAGUGUGGGGAGCAAAUAGGAUUAGAUACCCUAGUAGUCCACACCGUAAACGAUGGUAAUUAAAUGUUGGCACGGAAUGUGUCGGCGUUGCAGUUAACACAUUAAAUUACCCGCCUGGGUAGUACAUUCGCAAGAAUGAAACUCAAACGGAAUUGACGGGGACCCGCACAAGUGGUGGAGCAUGUUGCUUAAUUCGACAAUACACGUAAAACCUUACCUAGGUUUGACAUCUCCUGCAAAGCUAUAGAGAUAUAGUGGAGGUUAACAGGAUGACAGGUGGUGCAUGGUUGUCGUCAGCUCGUGUCGUGAGAUGUUGGGUUAAGUCCCGCAACGAGCGCAACCCUUAUCGUUAGUUACUUUAUCUAGCGAGACUGCCAGCGUAAGCUGGAGGAAGGUGGGGAUGACGUCAAAUCAUCAUGCCCCUUAUAUCUAGGGCCGCAAACGUGCUACAAUGGUCGGUACAAACUGUUGCAAACCAGUAAUGGGGAGCCAAUCAGAGAAAGCCGAUCUCAGUUCGGAUUGAGGGCUGCAAUUCGCCCUCAUGAAGUUGGAAUCACUAGUAAUCGCGAAUCAGACAUGUCGCGGUGAAUACGUUCUCAGGUCUUGUACAC
Molecule: ribosomal RNA, 868 nt
Filed under: uncultured Mycoplasma sp.
Lineage: Bacteria; Bacillati; Mycoplasmatota; Mollicutes; Mycoplasmatales; Mycoplasmataceae
Description: bacterial SSU rRNA
Rfam family: Bacterial small subunit ribosomal RNA
Source: RNAcentral